This is a long non-coding RNA of Meriones unguiculatus (Mongolian gerbil), 1760 nucleotides long. RefSeq lists it as uncharacterized. NCBI's taxonomy places the organism in Eukaryota, Metazoa, Chordata, Mammalia, Rodentia, Muridae. The transcript has 2 exons. The record is from RefSeq and is a predicted model, not a curated record.
AAAAAAAAAAAAAAAAAAAAAAGAAAGAAAGAAAGAAAGGGACGGGAGGUGGACAACAGAAAUCUGCCGAGUGCCAGCCAGAUGAGGCCAAAGAGAUAGAGUGGCAGGCUGAGCGGAGACACGGGGGAGGGAAGGAGGCAGGAAAAACUGGGGCAAGGAGAAGGGAGGACAGGGUUAGUGCAGGCGCCAUCAGAGCUUGGCAUGCGUGUGCGGGUGCGCGUGUGAGUUGUGGGGUGUUGGGAGGUGGUGGUGUCUCCCGGGCCAGGAGAAGAUGUGAGAACAGUUUGUUCCCAGGUUCCCUCCCCCCUUGGCCCGGGUUGGUGGGGGGAGGGCUGGGCUGGAUGGGGCCCCGCCGAGGGCGGAGAGCGAGGAGGUCUGCGCGAGCGGCUGAUUCUCCACCGGAUAUAGGCGCACAUCUUUCAGAAGACUUUUUUUCUGGGGUGGGGGCAGGAGUGACGAUGCCCCUGGUCGCCGGAGGCAGCCCCAGGGCUCCAGAUUUCAAGCUGCCCUGACCUCCUCCCUGCUGCCGGGAGGGCCAGGGAGAACCCGGCCGUGCUGCGACGCUCCUGUGUGGAAGAGAGGGAAGCGGAUCUCACUGGCACCCUCCGCCCGGUGCUCUGCAUCCCCAGGGCAGGCAACAGGCGGGGCCGGCGUGGGGCCCGGCGUGGUGGCCAGCGCAGGCUGCCCUGGAGCGGUGCGGAGCAGGACCCGCCAGCCUCCGCUGGGAUCAGAGGUGCGGACGACCGCGCUCUGCCAGGCUUUUUUUAACAACUUAAAAUGUACCAGAAGAGGGCACUGGGUCCCCCGGGUCUGGAGUCGGCUGUCGGCUGCCCUGUGAGUGAGUGCUGGGCAUCGACCUGGGAACCCUCUGGAAGGGCAACCAGUGCCCCUAACCACGGCGCCACCUUUAGCCCGGAAGUUUUUUUUUUUUUUUUUCCAAGGGCUUUUUAAUCAUUUUCUUGGGGAUGGCACAAGCUGGCCUCAACCUUGCUCUGGAGCGGAGAUGGCCGUGAACUCCUGACGCCCUUCGCCUCCUGAGGCUGAGAUUACAGAUGUACAUCAACCAAACGGCCUUUUUGUUUUGUUUUGUUUUGUUUUUGAGGCAGCUCUGCUGUCACCCGGGCCUUGAGCCCUCAGGGAUCCUCCUGCCCCAGACUCAGGGUGCAGAGAUCAUUGUGCCUGGCAAAAGCAGACCCCCCUCUUAAAAUGGGGUCUCAGGGUGCACCCCCGGCUGGCCCAGAAGGCCGAGAUCACCCACCUUGCCUCCUGAGUGCUGGGAUUAAAGGCUUGUGUUGCCAAGCCCACCUUGUAGAUCUAACUUUUUAACUUCGGCACAUUCUAACCCCCGGGGGCGAGAUUGCUGCUGUCUGCAUGCCGAGGGAAGGCUGCGAGGCUGGCGUGUGUGCGGUGUGGCCGGGCUGUGACAGGAGCUCGGGAGGAAGGAGUCGGCGCAAUUCCAGGCGCCGUGACAGCACACCAGCCAUCUCUAUGAAAUGUUUAUUUCCUUUGAAACCUCCUGAAACAUGCCAGAAAUCUCAAGACGGGGAUGGGAAGAAGGGGAGGAAAAAAAAAACAAUAAAGAAUGAUAAAAAAUCCAAAUGGAACAAAUCAACAUGGAGAAAAAAAUAAAAAUAAAAGCCUGCUGCUAUCUCCAGCCAUCAGACAGAACAUCAACCUCAAAUUAAAUAGAUUUUUGCAGAAAUUCUUACAAAAAUAAUAGAACAAAACCAAAAAUUAUAAUUUACAAUUGUCAAUGUACA